AUAACAAUAUAUAGCACGAGGAAGAAGAAAGAAAAAGAAAAGAAAAGAAAAAAAGUUCGUAUACUUCAAAGUACACGUGGAAAAACAGGUUGGUAAUAAUUAAUACGUAAACAGCGAAUGUAAAGAGGAAAAGAAGAUAAGCGAGAAUGUUAAUGAAUACGCAAGAGUGUUUAGGGGUUACGGCGAAGGAAGGAGGGGAAACAGGAAAGAACGGUAAAAUUAAUUAAUCCUUCGGUGUCGUUUGUUUACAAAAUAUCCGCUUCCUGACAGGGCUGAAAAGCUCUCGGUCUCGAAACGAACGAACGAACGAACGAACGAACGAACGAACGAAGUUGUUGCGCGCGCAUUUAAUAUUAUCAAGGCGCCACCAGUAACGUAUAAAACGGGUUGCGAAUGAUUUAGAAUCAGUGAAAGUCAUGGAAACGAUAAUAAAUGCUGCCAAAGAAGAUGACGACAAUGCUGUUGCUGAUGCAAUGGAAUCGCUUUCGUAAUGUGCGAUUAUAGAUUAAUCUGAGAUAUCGAUAAAAUCUUUAAGGAAAA
Vespula pensylvanica (western yellowjacket) is the source of this 540-nucleotide long non-coding RNA. RefSeq lists it as uncharacterized. The record is from RefSeq and is a predicted model, not a curated record. The transcript has 2 exons. NCBI's taxonomy places the organism in Eukaryota, Metazoa, Arthropoda, Insecta, Hymenoptera, Vespidae.